RNAcentral lists this long non-coding RNA (540 nucleotides) under Brassica napus (rape). Its description in RNAcentral is "long non-coding RNA (BNAP_LNC023868)". The record is from RNAcentral. Lineage: Eukaryota; Viridiplantae; Streptophyta; Magnoliopsida; Brassicales; Brassicaceae.
GUUGGUGUAUGGUCCUGAUAUAAACCAUGGUGAACUUUGAGUUCAAAUGAUAUCAUCCUUGAUAUAACUUGUACACACGUCCUAAACAAAAAAGCUUAUAUGCAUGUUAAUCGAAAUGUUUAACAUUGACUCACAAUUUCAGCAGGGGCAGUGAAAUGGAAAGAUUAAAUGUAUAAUACAUAGCUCACAACGGAAGAAAAAUGUUAUAUAUAUUUUUUGUUUAUUCGAGAAUGAUAUACAUUUGGACAAACACGUGAAAACCAAAACGUUCGUUUAAUGUAUAACUGACGUGAAACUAUGGUAGUGCUAUAACGCCACGGAGCCAUAGCGAGGCGGAUGAGACAAUGAGAAAGAGGAGUACAACUCCGGCGGGAGGAUGAGACGGUGGAGCAGAAGAAGAAACCGGCGGAGAAGCGAAGGGAGCAAAAGCCGGGUCAGGGUACGAGGAGCCGUCGCUAGUGUCGGGAUCAGGAGGGCUUGGAGAAGAAGGGAUUGUACCGGCGCCGGCGCCGGAAGGUAAAGCGUCUCCUGGGGAAGGGA